GAUGAACGCUAGCGACAGGCCUAACACAUGCAAGUCGAGGGGUAACAUUAUUAAAGCUUGCUUUAAUAGAUGACGACCGGCGCACGGGUGCGUAACGCGUAUGCAACCUACCCAUUACAGGAGGAUAGCCCAGAGAAAUUUGGAUUAAUACUCCAUAGUAUUUACUGAAAGCAUUUUUAGUAUUUUAAAAGAUUCGUCUGGUAAUGGAUGGGCAUGCGUAUGAUUAGUUAGUUGGUAGGGUAACGGCCUACCAAGACGACGAUCAUUAGGGGUUCUGAGAGGAUAGUCCCCCACACUGGUACUGAGACACGGACCAGACUCCUACGGGAGGCAGCAGUGAGGAAUAUUGGUCAAUGGGCGAGAGCCUGAACCAGCCAAGUCGCGUGCAGGACGACUGCCCUAUGGGUUGUAAACUGCUUUUAUAUAGGAAUAAUUGUUUCUACGUGUAGGGAUUUGAAUGUACUAUAUGAAUAAGCACCGGCUAACUCCGUGCCAGCAGCCGCGGUAAUACGGAGGGUGCAAGCGUUAUCCGGAUUUAUUGGGUUUAAAGGGUGCGUAGGCGGGUUCAUAAGUCAGUGGUGAAAGUCUGUCGCUUAACGAUAGAAUUGCCAUUGAAACUGUGGAUCUUGAAUACAGUAGAGGUAGGCGGAAUAUAUUGUGUAGCGGUGAAAUGCAUAGAUACGAUAUAGAACACCUAUUGCGAAGGCAGCUUACUAUGCUGUAAUUGACGCUGAUGCACGAAAGCGUGGGGAGCGAACAGG
This 761-nucleotide ribosomal RNA is filed under the name uncultured bacterium. Its description in RNAcentral is "bacterial SSU rRNA". It matches the Rfam family "Bacterial small subunit ribosomal RNA", at positions 28 to 776 of the family's 1533-position model. The record is from RNAcentral.